Molecule: ribosomal RNA, 398 nt
Filed under: uncultured bacterium
Lineage: Bacteria
Description: bacterial SSU rRNA
Rfam family: Bacterial small subunit ribosomal RNA
Source: RNAcentral
AAUCAACGCUGGCGGCGUGCCUCAGACAUGCAAGUCGAACGCGAAAGUCCCCUUCGGGGGACAAGUAGAGUGGCGCACGGGUGAGUAACACGUAGGUAAUCUACCUUCGGAUGGGGAAUAACAACCGGAAACGGUUGGCUAAUACCGCAUAAUGCAGCGGCACCUAAUGGUGACAGUUGUUAAAGCGGGGGAUCGUAAGACCUCGCGUCUGAAGAGGAGCCUGCGGCGGAUUAGCUAGNGGUAGGGUAACGGCCUACCAAGGCGACGAUCCGUAGCCGGCCUGAGAGGGCGGUCGGCCACACUGACACUGACAUACGGGUCAGACUCCUACGGGAGGCAGCAGUCGGAAUUUUGGGCAAUGGGCGAAAGCCUGACCCAGCAACGCCGCCGUGAAGGAU